UUCACCAUUCAACCCUAGAGCAGUCGCCGCCCCACUUCAGCCAUCAUCGCGCACAACACUCUAGUGAGAGAGUCCUCGUUACGGUCGCAUAGUCGAAACCAUCAUCGGUCGUAGCCUCCACUUGCACAGCACCGCCGGACAUCAUCGCGCUUGACAGUCAAGGAUGCAAGCCAUAACAAUUUUCUUUUCGCGAGCCACACGUCCAAGCCGCGUCAGUUCAAG
This 222-nucleotide long non-coding RNA is filed under the name Cucumis sativus (cucumber). RNAcentral's name for it is "long non-coding RNA (CSAT_LNC002704)". The record is from RNAcentral. Lineage: Eukaryota; Viridiplantae; Streptophyta; Magnoliopsida; Cucurbitales; Cucurbitaceae.